Molecule: long non-coding RNA, 645 nt
Filed under: Monodelphis domestica (gray short-tailed opossum)
Lineage: Eukaryota; Metazoa; Chordata; Mammalia; Didelphimorphia; Didelphidae
Description: lncRNA (ENSMODG00000045436.1)
Source: RNAcentral
CUCUAUUUUAAUUAAAUUAAAUCGUUCAUUGUUAAAAGCUUCUAGAAGUUUACUUUUUUCUGGCUUAAAGGGAUAAUACUAAGGUACAACUCUACUAGAGUCUCAUGAAAACUUCAGUGAUCAAAAGCUGCUCUCCUCCCUUUGAGAAACCCCUCUUUUAACCCUUACAAGAGGAAGAGGACAGAUUGUGGAAAUGGCCCAAACAUUUAGAAAAAAGAAAUAUCAGAGAAGGAUUCAGAGAUAUUUUUAAAAAUGACUGAGAGAUGCUGGAUUUGAUGAUGAAGAUAUUGGUCAUGUUGGAGAGAUUCGGUUUCAGUACAAUAAUAAGGAAAGAUGUUGGGAAGCUCCCAAUGGCAGAAGAAGUCAACCAGAAUGAUGAAGGGUCAUGAGACCCUGCCAGAAGAUGCUUCCUUGAAGGAGCUGGGAAUGUUUAACCUGUAGAAGAAAAAACGUAUGCGGCAACAUGAUAGCCAUCUGCAACUCUUUGAAGGGAUUUUUAAUAGAGCAAUCAGACUUCUGCUUUACCUCAGAUAGCAAAAGUAUGAGGAAAAGGUGAAUGUUGCAAAGAAGCAGAAUUGAAAUUCUGAUGAGGAAAGAACAUUAUUUUUAAUUGAGUUUCCCAGAUACAAAAUGGGUGGCUUCAGA